This 2119-nucleotide long non-coding RNA is filed under the name Equus caballus (horse). RNAcentral's name for it is "lncRNA (ENSECAG00000048954.1)". Lineage: Eukaryota; Metazoa; Chordata; Mammalia; Perissodactyla; Equidae. The record is from RNAcentral.
UCUCGUGAUUCCAUGGCUAGGCAAGGUGGUUCCUCACUGCUCCGCCUUGAGUCAUUCAGGUGGCUGCCUUGUGCUAGAGGUCAGCUGGAAUGUCAAAGAUGGCAGUUGCUGCUUGCUGUCAGUUAGGUCACUCAGGUCACCAUGUGACCUUUACUUCUUCAGUAGGCUAGACUGGCUUUCUUACCUGGAAGUGUCAGGGCAGUAUUCCAAGAUCACAAAGGCAGAAGCUGCAAGACCUCUUAAGGUCUGGACACCUGAACUCACACAUCACUUCUGCUACGUUCUAAGUCACAAGGCCAGCCCAUCUGCAAAGGAGCAGAAAAAUAAACUCCACCUCUGGAAGGGAGAAGCAGCAAAAUCAUAUUGCAAAGAGGCAUGCUUCCUGGGAUGGGAGGAAUUUGAGGUCAUUAACCAUCUACCACACAAGAUGUACAAAGGAAAUGAGGCGGUGAAGGAAAGAGUUCUGCAUGCUGUGUUAUUUUCUGAGAAGACAGAGAUUGUGGAGAAAGGAAUCACAAUUUAGCCAGUGUACUAGCGAACACUGAAGCAGGGCGUCAGGCUGCAGGUCCUUCAGUGGCACCUCCUCCCCCAUGCAUCAAAUUUUCUGUGCCCAUCACGCAGCUGAUGUGUGGACAACAGUCCCCCUGGGCAGUCAAUUGGAAGCCAAAGCUGUGAAUUAUAACCGUAGCCUAAUUAGUGCUCUGCCGUUGGACCUACUGAAUAUCAGAUACCAAGACUAAAGGAACUGGAAAGUGACUAUUUCUCUUUGGAGGAGGCAUAUGUUCCAAAUAUUUAUUGAUGCAAAACAAACCGGCCUGAUCUUAGUGGUGCAAAACAAUAACCAUUUUAUUGCUCACAGAUUGUGUUUCAAGAAUUCAGAUAGGACACAGAAAAGAAGACAUCUUUGAGUCCUCAACUGGGAAAAUUCAAAGAAAGAUGAUUUGAUAGCUGGGGAGUGGAUUCAUCUCAAGGCUGGUCUAUUCACAUGUCUGGUGGUUGAUGUUGACUAUUUCUUGGGACCUUAGCUGGAGCUCUUGGCCAGAACACCUAGAUGAAGCAUCACCAUGUGGUAUCUCCACAUUGCUUAGAUUGGAUUUCCUCCUAGCACGGUGGCAGAGUUUGAAGAAAGAACAUUCUCAAAACAAACAAACAAACAAACAAAAACACCAACGUGGACAUUCAUGGCAUAUUUAUGACCUAACCUUGGAAAUCUUAAAGAUUUCAGUGUACUCUGGUUUCAACAUCCUCUCUUGGUAGAAGUGCUCACAAAUAUUAGCCAAGGUUCAAGGACAGGGGACUUAGACCUCAUCACUAGAUGUCAUGUUGUAAGAAGAGCAUGUGAGAUGAGAUAUAUUGCAGUGUCCCUCUUUGGAAAAUGCAAUCUGUCUCAGCAUACAUUCACAUCAUAGCUCCUGGCAAUGGCAAAUGUAAUAUUGUUGAUCUCUUGAAUCCCUUAGUUUUGCCAAAGGAUGUUUUAAAAAUGUUUCUAAAGCCUUUAUUUAGAAUGAUGAAAGUAAUAGAUAUUCAUUAAGGGAAGGUUGAAAAAUAAGCAAAAGUAAUAAAGUCGAACUACAUGCCAUGAUUUAUUUGACAAUUCUCUAACUUCUAAGGACUUUUUUUCAUUUGUUGCUUAUUUUAGAUAAUGCUACAAUAAACAUUUUUUCAUAAAUUUGACUACAUCUUGAUUUUCAAAAUAUAUAUUUCUAGAAGUGCAAUUAUGUCAACAAUGGAGUUGAUAAUCAUUGUGCAGAAAAGUAGCCUUCAACCAUAGUCAAAGCAUAUUUUCAUUGACUAACAAUUUGUUGGCAGUAAUAUAGGCAUCUUACCUUGGACAUUCAAGACAAACAGUUUUAAUGCUUGUUGUUGUUACAAAUCUCAGAGUUGUCAAAGGACAGUCCUGAGAGUAGGAAUAGAUAAAGGUACCUCUUUACUAUGUAACUAAUCAUUCCUGAAGACACCAGUGACAGCUACAUGGGAAAGACACCAUUGGCCCAAAGGAAUGAUUAAACACUAACUCUGCAGCAUAGCAUCCCUUAACCCAAUUCUGAAUUGACUGUUAACUAAAGAGCUGUUUUUAAAAAUACUAUUUAAAUCUCAUUAUUUGAGCAUUGUGGAAAAU